This 335-nucleotide long non-coding RNA is filed under the name Pan troglodytes (chimpanzee). RNAcentral's name for it is "long non-coding RNA NONPTRT003692". The record is from RNAcentral. Lineage: Eukaryota; Metazoa; Chordata; Mammalia; Primates; Hominidae.
GACAUGCUGAGAAAUACAGCCAACCUGCUGCAGAUGGCAGAGAAAAAGAACUUGACCCUUAAUGACAUUCCUGAGCCAUUAACAACACUGUAAGGUGGGCUGAUUGUGGAGGCUAAAGCAAUUCUACCUUGCCGGCUUAUCCACCAUGUGGACUUCUAAUUAAUCUCAGUUGCCGGAAUGCCUCUAAGAUUUCUACGUUAUCUACUGUGAAGAGCAAGUAAUUACUGCAAAUCCUGCCCUUGGGUCAAAACAACCUUGAUGACAUAUUCCUUCUGAAGCACAUAGACUCUUUCCCUAGGUAUAUAAGCCUUGGGUCUGGGGGCUAACGGUGCAGG